UGAACAUGNAAAAGAGAUUNAUUNAAAUGACANGAAGAAAACAAUGGAUGAAUGGAGUUGUUGGGGGUUUACAAUUUCAUCUAAUUCGCUCUCUCUUAUUUACUCCUCUUGAAUUAUUAGUUUGAUUAAUUAAUUGUCAUGCAACUUUCUUAGCCUACCCUUAACCCGAUCCCUCGGCAAAAAGAGCCUAAUAUUAAUUACUGGCUUGCUAUCCCUAGCCUCCCCUAGCAAUUAAUACAGCAUUAUAGAGCAGAAGUUAAA
This 261-nucleotide long non-coding RNA is filed under the name Vigna radiata. RNAcentral describes it as "long non-coding RNA (VRAD_LNC005090)". Lineage: Eukaryota; Viridiplantae; Streptophyta; Magnoliopsida; Fabales; Fabaceae. The record is from RNAcentral.